Micropterus salmoides (largemouth bass) is the source of this 631-nucleotide long non-coding RNA. RefSeq lists it as uncharacterized. The transcript is spliced from 4 exons. The record is from RefSeq and is a predicted model, not a curated record. NCBI's taxonomy places the organism in Eukaryota, Metazoa, Chordata, Actinopteri, Centrarchiformes, Centrarchidae.
UAUAUAUUUCACAAAAAAUAUAAUUUUUAUUGUUUCUUCCAAUCACAGGUAGUUAUGACAUAUUUCCCUCUGUAACAGGUUGUCGGACCAGGAGAAGAUCACAGCAGCAGUCGAGGCUGAGAAUAGCACACUACGAGCGCUAAACAUACAACUGCAGCAACAUUUGCUGAAAUCACUGAACUCUGUGCAAUGCAAUGAUCCUGUAUCACAAAGCCCAGAGAAGGCCUUAAAAAUUGCAGAGUCUGGCUGUGCAGAUGAGGUGGGACCCUCUGCUUCUCCCAAAGGAGACGAGAUUCACUUGGGAGGGGAAGUAAGCAUUCGAAAAGAGACGUGGUCCAGGAUCCAGAAUAGCACCAGGGAUUCGUUAUUUGUGAAAGAGUUGGCAGUGGCGAUGUGGGGCACUAAAACCCUGGGGGAAAGGAGCCUCACGGGGAAAGAAUGCCCCUCCAACAAAACCACCAGGCAGCCUUUAACCCCACAGAAACUACACACAUUAAAAGGUAGGAGUAGCCACAAGGUCUUCACUUCAGCCACUUCAGUGAGAAUAAGAGCACUCAAAGUGCCAUGCAAUGUAAGGGUACUUAAGUUUUGUUCAUUUUGACGAUGUUGUGAUUUGCUUGUUUUUUAUGUU